UGUUCUGGGCUCAGUUGGUCAGAGCCUGGUGCUAACAGCACCAAGGAUGUGGGUUCAAUCCCUGCAUGGGCUA
Molecule: non-coding RNA, 73 nt
Organism: Lamprotornis superbus
Lineage: Eukaryota; Metazoa; Chordata; Aves; Passeriformes; Sturnidae
Source: the annotation of a GenBank genome assembly